RNAcentral lists this ribosomal RNA (637 nucleotides) under Pseudomonas putida. RNAcentral describes it as "bacterial SSU rRNA". It matches the Rfam family "Bacterial small subunit ribosomal RNA", at positions 170 to 801 of the family's 1533-position model. Lineage: Bacteria; Pseudomonadati; Pseudomonadota; Gammaproteobacteria; Pseudomonadales; Pseudomonadaceae. The record is from RNAcentral.
CGCACACGUCCUACCGGAGAAAGCAGGGGACCUUCGGGCCUUGCUCUAUCAGAUGAACCUACGUCGGAUUAACUAGUUGGUGGGGUAAUGGCUCACCAAGGCGACCAUCCAUACCUGGUCUGACAGGAUGAUCAAUCACACUGGAACUGACACACAGUCCAGACUCCUACCGGAGGCAGCAGUGGGGAAUAUUGGACAAUGGGCGAAAGCCUGAUCCAUCCAUGCCGCGUGUGUGAAGAAGGUCUGCCGAUUGUAAAGCACUUUAAGUUGGGAGGAAGGGCAUUAACCUAGUACGUUAGUGUUUUGACGUUACCGACAGAAUAAGCACCGGCUAACUCUGUGCCAGCAGCCGCGGUAAUACAGAGGGUGCAAGCGUUAAUCGGAAUUACUGGGCGUAAAGCGCGCCUAGGUGGUUUGUUAAGUUGGAUGUGAAAGCCCCGGGCUCAACCAGGGAACUGCAUCCUAAACUGGUGAGCUGCAGUACUGUAGAGGGUGGUGGAAUUUCCUGUGUAGCAGCGAAAUGCUUAGAUAUAGAGAAGGAACACCACUGGCGAAGGCGACCACCUGGACUGAUACUGACGCUGAUGUGCUACAACGUCGUGAGCAACCAGGAUGAUAUACCCUGGUAGUCCUCGCC